GAAAAGGUGCCAAGUGACCCCAAGCAGAACAAGUGUGGUUGUGUCAUAUUGUGAGAAUCGGCUCUUAAAGCAGCAUUACACUCAGGUUGGUAGGGCCUUGAUUGAUUCUAUUUAUAACGUAUUUUCAUGUUCUGCAAAAAUUUAUUUGAAUCUUGCUGUUGGUUCAGACAGACAGAGGUGGAGAAUGUGGAUUUGGUAGAAUAGAGAGUGAGGUCAAGGGGAUUGCUGACCCAAGUAAGGUUGCUGUUGUUGAGUCCGAUUGAAAACUCCAGGCACAUGUGUCACCAUAUGAGUUUCUGCACUUCCAUUUUCACUUCUUUUGUUGUUCAUCAUCCCACAGUCCAAUUACGUAAUCAUGGCUGCAAUUCAUCAAUUGAAAAUUGUUGCUUCAAAUAAAUGCCUAAUGUGUAAAUACUA
This 417-nucleotide long non-coding RNA is filed under the name Coffea arabica (coffee). Its description in RNAcentral is "long non-coding RNA (CARA_LNC005163)". Lineage: Eukaryota; Viridiplantae; Streptophyta; Magnoliopsida; Gentianales; Rubiaceae. The record is from RNAcentral.